Molecule: non-coding RNA, 105 nt
Organism: Sporisorium reilianum f. sp. reilianum
Lineage: Eukaryota; Fungi; Basidiomycota; Ustilaginomycetes; Ustilaginales; Ustilaginaceae
Source: the annotation of a GenBank genome assembly
GCUCCUUUAGCUCAGUGGGAGAGCGCGCCACUCGUAUACAGUUCCAGUACAUGGUUCUCGACUACGCAUAUGGUGAGGUCACUAGUUCAAUCCUGGUAGGGAGCA